This 254-nucleotide ribosomal RNA is filed under the name uncultured bacterium. Its description in RNAcentral is "partial 16S ribosomal RNA". It matches the Rfam family "Bacterial small subunit ribosomal RNA", at positions 524 to 776 of the family's 1533-position model. The record is from RNAcentral.
UACGUAGGGGGCAAGCGUUGUCCGGAUUUAUUGGGCGUAAAGAGCUCGUAGGUGGUUUGGUAAGUCGGAUGUGAAAUCUCCAGGCUCAACCUGGAGGGGUCAUUCGAUACUGCCAUGACUAGAGGUCGGUAGGGGAGUGUGGAAUUCCUGGUGGAGCGGUGAAAUGCGCAGAUAUCAGGAGGAACACCCGUAGGGAAGGCGGCACUCUGGGCCGAUUCUGACACUGAGGAGCGAAAGCGUGGGGAGCGAACAGG